AUGGGGGGGAAAUGUUUUAUUUAUUUAGUCCAUUUUGAAUUCCUGCUGUAACACAACUAAAUGUGGAAUUGUUUAAGUGAAAUUAUUAUUAUUAUUAUAGUUAUGAAAACUUCAUCACGUUGUGAGAUGAGGCGAGAUAUCUCCUAGACACCAUGUCAUUUAAAUAAAUAAAUAAAUAAAUAAAUCAGUGUGAUGAUGUAGAAUCAACGUGGAAAACUGAUUAGAUUUGCAAAAAGUUAUCGACAUAAGGGAAUUUACUUUUUGUGUUGAUUUCACAAUGACAUUAGAUAUCUCCUAGUCUCUCUCUGUGGGGAACAGUCUGUUACAGUAGAUAUCUCCUAGUCUCUCUCUGUGGGGAACAGUCUGUUCCAUUAGACAUCUCCUAGUCUCUCUCUGUGGGGAACAGUCUGUUACAGUAGAUAUCUCCUAGUCUCUCUCUGUGGGGAACAGUCUGUUCCAUUAGACAUCUCCUAGUCUCUCUCUGUGGGGAACAGUCUGUUCCAUUAGACAUCUCCUAGUCUCUCUCUGUGGGGAACAGUCUGUUCCAUUAGACAUCUCCUAGUCUCUCUCUGUGGGGCUGAGAGCAGCGGUAGACCAGGUCUGUCUAAGAUGUCUGUUGUGACUGUGAGGUAAAGGAGUGGAAGACAGGAUAUGUCAGUGGACUAACCCCGUUCUGAGAACUCUGCCUCAGCCCCACCCCCCCCUCUUCCACUGAGCUGAGACGUCUAGCGACUGAGCCGCCUAGCGAGAACGCCUGGAUCCUGACAAGCCGUCUUAUUCCUCUUCCACCUCCGUCAGGAUGAAGAACCAAAAUAAAAAAAGACGAUGUAUUUUCCUCUUACUUUUCCUGGUCACUCUUCUUCUGUCUCCCUCUUUGGCAAGGCAAACUGACUACGCUCCCUAUUUCCAUGACAACGGACCGAGCAGCACCAAUGGGAAUAUGGCUCUGUUCAGUAUCUCAGAAGACACAGAAGUCGG
Oncorhynchus gorbuscha (pink salmon) is the source of this 978-nucleotide long non-coding RNA. RefSeq lists it as uncharacterized. The record is from RefSeq and is a predicted model, not a curated record. The transcript is spliced from 3 exons. NCBI's taxonomy places the organism in Eukaryota, Metazoa, Chordata, Actinopteri, Salmoniformes, Salmonidae.